GACGUACGCUGGCGGCGUGCCUAAUACAUGCAAGUUGAGCGAUGAAGAUUGGUGCUUGCACCAAUUUGAAGAGCAGCGAACGGGUGAGUAACGCGUGGGGAAUCUGCCUUUGAGCGGGGGACAACAUUUGGAAACGAAUGCUAAUACCGCAUAACAACUUUAAACAUAAGUUUUAAGUUUGAAAGAUGCAAUUGCAUCACUCAAAGAUGAUCCCGCGUUGUAUUAGCUAGUUGGUGAGGUAAAGGCUCACCAAGGCGAUGAUACAUAGCCGACCUGAGAGGGUGAUCGGCCACAUUGGGACUGAGACACGGCCCAAACUCCUACGGGAGGCAGCAGUAGGGAAUCUUCGGCAAUGGACGAAAGUCUGACCGAGCAACGCCGCGUGAGUGAAGAAGGUUUUCGGAUCGUAAAACUCUGUUGGUAGAGAAGAACGUUGGUGAGAGUGGAAAGCUCAUCAAGUGACGGUAACUACCCAGAAAGGGACGGCUAACUACGUG
RNAcentral lists this ribosomal RNA (497 nucleotides) under uncultured bacterium. Its description in RNAcentral is "partial 16S ribosomal RNA". It matches the Rfam family "Bacterial small subunit ribosomal RNA", at positions 28 to 507 of the family's 1533-position model. The record is from RNAcentral.